This is a long non-coding RNA of Melanotaenia boesemani (Boeseman's rainbowfish), 1087 nucleotides long. RefSeq lists it as uncharacterized. NCBI's taxonomy places the organism in Eukaryota, Metazoa, Chordata, Actinopteri, Atheriniformes, Melanotaeniidae. The transcript is spliced from 2 exons. The record is from RefSeq and is a predicted model, not a curated record.
CACAAAGUAUGUAAACAUGGAACCAAAAGCCCACAUGAUGUGGAUGAAAUGCAGGUAUUUAAUGGUUAAACUUUACAUAAUCUAUUGCUGCUCUAAAAAAAAUACAUAAAAUAAAAGGAUUUUCUUAGAUGACUGAUUUAUAUUUCUUAACUGUAUACCUCAUAACUGGAAAUAGUGCAACUAAUACAAAUCAAAUCUAUAUAUUAGUAGUUAUGGGAAAAGAUUGUAGUAUUGCAGUUUUAUACAACUGUUAUUACUUUUUCAAUAGCCUUCCUGAGAAUGAAAAAGUGAUUGUGCUUGAGUGUGAAUCUUCUCCGCCUACAGACAAAACAGGCUCCCUCUUCAUCUCUAAGCAGACUGUCAUCCCUGGUCACCAUCAGGUCUGUUCUUGCCCCAGUGAACAUUCAACGCUGUCGAGAAAGAGAAGGAAGAAGUCCAUAACAUUCAGAAACCUCCACACAGGCAUGGUGGAUGACUUCUUGAAAAAUCACAUGAAGAACACAGUGUUCCUUCUUUGUAAACAUGCAAAAACUUCCUGCUUCCAAAUCACAACGAAAAGGUCACAAUCAACAUUCAUUGCUGUCGGUGGGUUUAACUGUGUGGAAGAGCUCACUGAACGAUGAAUGCAACUGUGUCCCAGAUUUCCUCUGACCGUCGCAAGGAAUAUUGUCACAAUAUGCUGAUGAAGGCAUUUUUUAGUUUACCUGUCCCUUGUCUACCCACAACUACAGCCACACUAGUAGUGUGAUCUGACAUCUUGGCAUUUUGGCUGUAAGAGCAGAAGAAGAGUAAAGAUUCGAGAGAUAGUUGGGAUGAAGGUUGCACUGAACAUGAUUUAGUUCAUUUAAUUGCUACAGGAAUGAUAAAACGUGUGCUAAAUAUAAAAAUAGUGUAAUGUGGAGUGAAAAGUGACCUUUACUGAAUGAAACUGAUUUGAUCAAUACUCCAAAGUAUAUAGUUUUUUGAACAAGUUGAUCUUCUUACAAUUGUUAGAUAGCUUUGAUGUUCACCCAAACUGUGUGUGCCUGAUUAUUAAAGCUGUGUAUGUAUUUUGAUGCAUUUUAUUCCAAUAAAUUAUCACACUUUC